UAUAGUGUCCAUCAAGCAAUAAGCCCAUUUUUUUUAGUGUGGAGAGGAAUAUCGCUUGGUGAUAUGUAAUUGAAGAUUUGGCUUGGAGUAUGGAUAACUUAUUAUCUAUGAGUUAGAGUAGAUGACCUGUCAUUGAAGAGUUUACAUUGAGUUUGGAUGGCUUAUCAAUUAAAAGUUGGCAUGGAUGUCUUUCAUUGGACAAAAUUUGGAUGACUUUUAUGUAGGAUAUCCUUGGAUGACCUCCAUGUCAGAUAUUUUUAGAUGAUUUUCAUGGAAUAUAUCUUUAGUAAAUCUCCUUGAAUGACAUUCGUUGAGGUUUUUUCUUGGGGUUGAAUUAUAGUGAUUCUUUUGGGAGCAACAAAAUGGAGAUGAGUUUGUUAAUUAAUGGAGGCCUAGGGUUGAGAUUGUCGUCGUCGGAAGAGAACAUAUCGUGUCAUUGUUUUUGAGGAGCAUCGAGAGUUUGUUGUCGUCAAUUGGUGAUGGUGGAGACUCAUACGCCACGAUUGACAAAAUGUUGAAAAUUGAGUUUCCAACUAAAUAUUCAAACUAAUAUUCAUAGUCAAAAUAGGAUGUGGAAAUUAGAGAUUCUUGUUAUUUAUAAAGUUGUGGCUUCAUGCUGACAAAAGAUAUCAUUGGUAUUCAGUGUUUGU
This 650-nucleotide long non-coding RNA is filed under the name Brassica napus (rape). RNAcentral describes it as "long non-coding RNA (BNAP_LNC007911)". Lineage: Eukaryota; Viridiplantae; Streptophyta; Magnoliopsida; Brassicales; Brassicaceae. The record is from RNAcentral.